Spea bombifrons (plains spadefoot toad) is the source of this 88-nucleotide long non-coding RNA. RefSeq lists it as uncharacterized. NCBI's taxonomy places the organism in Eukaryota, Metazoa, Chordata, Amphibia, Anura, Pelobatidae. The transcript has 3 exons. The record is from RefSeq and is a predicted model, not a curated record.
AGCGGAGAAGUGGAGUAUUUCUUAUUGGAAGGUGGAGAAGACAGAUUUGUUGGUGACCGUAUCCGCGAUAUCACAUCAAAGCAAUCCC